Long non-coding RNA from Populus euphratica (Euphrates poplar), 456 nucleotides. RefSeq lists it as uncharacterized. The record is from RefSeq and is a predicted model, not a curated record. Lineage: Eukaryota; Viridiplantae; Streptophyta; Magnoliopsida; Malpighiales; Salicaceae. The transcript has 2 exons.
UGGCCACAUAUGCUAGCAUUUACAAUUUUUAUUCUGAAGCUCCAUGUCUUCUUGGUUUUAAUGCUUCAUCCUAAAUUGUUUUGCUUUUGCUACAACUGCAGAUAACCGGACUUGCACUCUCAUUGCUUGACCCCGAUUACAUUUGUAUCCAAGGGGCUGAUUAUGAGUGCUCCAACAAGGAUGUAAUGGGCGGUUGGUGUGCUUCUGGUAGCAUCUUCUUGGCUGAAAAAAAGAGUGAAAUAAACAUGAUAGCAGACCCUGAAAAAGGGAGUGAAUAAGCAUGGUGGUAGAUCCUUGAAAAUGGAUAUCCUCAGAGGUUGUUCAGAUAUGUUCUCAUCUUUCGGAUUGGACGCUGCUGCUUAGGCAUCAGGAUUUUUAAGCAGCAAUCCUUAUUAGCAGUUAUGUCAAGCAGUCGUUGAUCCUCCAGUCAAGGCACCAAUUGACUUCUUCGAGAAG